GAUGAACGCUGGCGGCGUGCCUAAUACAUGCAAGUCGAGCGAACGGACGAGAAGCUUGCUUCUCUGAUGUUAGCGGCGGACGGGUGAGUAACACGUGGAUAACCUACCUAUAAGACUGGGAUAACUUCGGGAAACCGGAGCUAAUACCGGAUAAUAUUUUGAACCGCAUGGUUCAAAAGUGAAAGACGGUCUUGCGGUAACUUAUAGAUGGAUCCGCGCUGCAUUAGCUAGUUGGUAAGGUAACGGCUUACCAAGGCAACGAUGCAUAGGCGACGGGAGAGGGUGAUAGGCCACACUGGAACUGAGACACGGUCCAGACUCCUACGGGAGGCAGCAGUAGGGAAUCUUCCGCAAUGGGCGAAAGCCUGACGGAGCAACGCCGCGUGAGUGAUGAAGGUCUUCGGAUCGUAAAACUCUGUUAUUAGGGAAGAACAUAUGUGUAAGUAACUGUGCACAUCUUGACGGUACCUAAUAAGAAAGCCACGGCUAACUACGUG
Molecule: ribosomal RNA, 497 nt
Filed under: uncultured bacterium
Lineage: Bacteria
Description: partial 16S ribosomal RNA
Rfam family: Bacterial small subunit ribosomal RNA
Source: RNAcentral